UAAAUGGGGAGCUUGUAACAGCAGGCUGAGAGGAAGUCUUCAACUUCGACCCUUAUACCUGAUUUGGAUAAUGCCAACGUAGGGAAAUU
Molecule: non-coding RNA, 89 nt
Filed under: uncultured Blautia sp.
Lineage: Bacteria; Bacillati; Bacillota; Clostridia; Lachnospirales; Lachnospiraceae
Description: TPP riboswitch (THI element)
Rfam family: TPP riboswitch aptamer (THI element)
About the family: Vitamin B(1) in its active form thiamin pyrophosphate (TPP) is an essential coenzyme that is synthesised by coupling of pyrimidine and thiazole moieties in bacteria.
Source: RNAcentral